Molecule: long non-coding RNA, 427 nt
Filed under: Elaeis guineensis (African oil palm)
Lineage: Eukaryota; Viridiplantae; Streptophyta; Magnoliopsida; Arecales; Arecaceae
Description: long non-coding RNA (EGUI_LNC063197)
Source: RNAcentral
AGAUCCUAUUACAUGAUUAUUAUAUAGCAUUAAAUCAAAAAUUAAAAUAUAUAAAUAUAGUAUGAACUACAUGUUGAUCAUAUCAACAUGUUUCUAUACUACAUCUAAUGUAUGUAUUAAACAAUAGAUCAGAUCUAUUACCUUGCAAGUUAGAUGUUCUAACCUCGCUGAUCCGGGCUUAAGGAUGAUGUUGCAAGCCGCACACCCAUCCGACCUCUAGGAGUCGUCCACACGACCCCACGAAUCUCGAUCAGAAGUCCUGCUUCAGGAAAUCAGCACAGUAUGCUAGUACUGCGCUGAUCCUUCUUUCUUUGAUGGUUGAUCAGGUGCCUCCUUCUUCUUGAUUUGGACUCUUUCAAAGAUGGAAAGAAGAAGGAGGAGUUUUAGAUCUGUGAUGCUCUCAGAAAACUCAAGAUGGAGGGAGGAA